AGGUGUGGCUCAGUUGGUAGAGCGCGUGGUUUGGGACCAUGAGGUCGCAGGUUCGAUUCCUGUCACCU
Molecule: transfer RNA, 68 nt
Filed under: chicken gut metagenome
Rfam family: tRNA
About the family: Transfer RNA (tRNA) molecules are approximately 80 nucleotides in length. Their secondary structure includes four short double-helical elements and three loops (D, anti-codon, and T loops).
Source: RNAcentral